Molecule: transfer RNA, 68 nt
Filed under: Candidatus Riesia sp.
Lineage: Bacteria; Pseudomonadati; Pseudomonadota; Gammaproteobacteria; Enterobacterales; Enterobacteriaceae
Description: tRNA-Met
Rfam family: tRNA
About the family: Transfer RNA (tRNA) molecules are approximately 80 nucleotides in length. Their secondary structure includes four short double-helical elements and three loops (D, anti-codon, and T loops). Further hydrogen bonds mediate the characteristic L-shaped molecular structure. tRNAs have two regions of fundamental functional importance: the anti-codon, which is responsible for specific mRNA codon recognition, and the 3' end, to which the tRNAs corresponding amino acid is attached (by aminoacyl-tRNA synthetases). tRNAs cope with the degeneracy of the genetic code in two manners: having more than one tRNA (with a specific anti-codon) for a particular amino acid; and 'wobble' base-pairing, i.e. permitting non-standard base-pairing at the 3rd anti-codon position.
Source: RNAcentral
AAAGGGGUGGAGUAAUAGGUAACUCAUUAGGCUCAUGAUCUAAAGUUAAAGGUUCAAGUCCUUUCCCC